This is a non-coding RNA of Triticum aestivum (bread wheat), 135 nucleotides long. The record is from Rfam. Lineage: Eukaryota; Viridiplantae; Streptophyta; Magnoliopsida; Poales; Poaceae.
AUAUUACUCCUUCCGUCCGGAAAUACUUGUUAUCAAAACGAAUAAAAGGGGAUGUAUCUAGAUGAAUAUUAGUUCUAGAUACAUCCCUUUUUAUCCAUUUUGAUGACAAGUAUUUUCGGACGGAGGGAGUACAUU